AGUGCUAAAUUUACAUUACACAUAUUGUUAUUUCAACACCAAAAUGAUGUUAUAGUUGGAGAUGCUCUUAUACCUUUCACCAUCUUCUAGAUGAAGUUUUACAAAUCUUAACAUCUCUCGUAGAUUGUUAUUUCAACACCAAAAUGGUGUUAUAGUUGGAGAUGCUCUUAUACCGUUCACCAUCUUUUAGAUGAAGUUUUACAAAUCUUAUCAUUUUUUGUAGAAACAAAAAA
RNAcentral lists this small RNA (233 nucleotides) under Arabidopsis thaliana (thale cress). RNAcentral's name for it is "ATSL044880". Lineage: Eukaryota; Viridiplantae; Streptophyta; Magnoliopsida; Brassicales; Brassicaceae. The record is from RNAcentral.